Molecule: ribosomal RNA, 253 nt
Filed under: uncultured bacterium
Lineage: Bacteria
Description: partial 16S ribosomal RNA
Rfam family: Bacterial small subunit ribosomal RNA
Source: RNAcentral
UACGUAGGGGGCAAGCGUUAUCCGGAUUUACUGGGUGUAAAGGGAGCGUAGACGGCUUUGCAAGCCAGAUGUGAAAGCCCGGGGCUCAACCCCGGGACUGCAUUUGGAACUGUAUGGCUGGAGUGUCGGAGAGGCAGGCGGAAUUCCUAGUGUAGCGGUGAAAUGCGUAGAUAUUAGGAGGAACACCAGUGGCGAAGGCGGCCUGCUGGACGAUGACUGACGUUGAGGCUCGAAAGUGUGGGGAGCAAACAGG